This 62-nucleotide transfer RNA is filed under the name Calophya californica. Its description in RNAcentral is "tRNA-Ile". The record is from RNAcentral. Lineage: Eukaryota; Metazoa; Arthropoda; Insecta; Hemiptera; Calophyidae.
GAAAGAUGCCUGAUAAAAGGAUUAUUUUGAUGUAAUAAAUUAUGUUUUUUAACUCUUUCUUA